RNAcentral lists this ribosomal RNA (447 nucleotides) under uncultured bacterium. Its description in RNAcentral is "bacterial SSU rRNA". It matches the Rfam family "Bacterial small subunit ribosomal RNA", at positions 331 to 794 of the family's 1533-position model. The record is from RNAcentral.
CCAGACUCCUACGGGAGGCAGCAGUGGGGGAUAUUGCACAAUGGGGGAAACCCUGAUGCAGCGACGCCGCGUGAGUGAAGAAGUAUUUCGGUAUGUAAAGCUCUAUCAGCAGGGAAGAAAAAAGACGGUACCUGACUAAGAAGCCCCGGCUAACUACGUGCCAGCAGCCGCGGUAAUACGUAGGGGGCAAGCGUUAUCCGGAUUUACUGGGUGUAAAGGGAGCGUAGACGGCAAUACAAGUCGGAAGUGAAAUACCCGGGCUCAACCUGGGAACUGCUUUGGAAACUGUGCAGCUAGAGUGCAGGAGAGGUAAGUGGAAUUCCUAGUGUAGCGGUGAAAUGCGUAGAUAUUAGGAGGAACACCAGUGGCGAAGGCGGCUUACUGGACUGUAACUGACGUUGAGGCUCGAAAGCGUGGGGAGCAAACAGGAUUAGAUACCCCCGUAGA